AACGAACGCUGGCGGUAUGCUUAACACAUGCAAGUCGAACGAACAAAAUUGGGGCUUGCUCCAAUUUUAGUGAGUGGCAAACGGGUGAGUAACACGUGGGAAUCUACCUAUCAGUACGGAAUAACAUUUGGAAACAGAUGCUAAUACAGUAUAUUCUCCAAGGAGGAAAGAUUUAUCGCUGAUAGAUGAGCCCGCGCAAGAUUAGGUAGUUGGUAGGGUAAUGGCCUACCAAGCCUACGAUCUUUAGCUGGUCUGAGAGGAUGAUCAGCCACACUGGGACUGAGACACGGCCCAGACUCCUACGGGAGGCAGCAGUGGGGAAUAUUGGACAAUGGGCGAAAGCCUGAUCCAGCAAUACCGCGUGAAUGAUGAAGGCCUUAGGGUUGUAAGGUUCUUUUAGUUGGAAAGAUAAUGACGGUACCAACAGAAAAAGCCCCGGCUAACUCCGUGCCAGCCGC
RNAcentral lists this ribosomal RNA (458 nucleotides) under uncultured bacterium. Its description in RNAcentral is "bacterial SSU rRNA". It matches the Rfam family "Bacterial small subunit ribosomal RNA", at positions 29 to 515 of the family's 1533-position model. The record is from RNAcentral.